AUUGAUUCUUCGGAAUGAGAGAGCGGCGUAUGGUUGCGGAACACGUGUGCAACCUGCCUUUAUCUGGGGGAUAGCCUUUCGAAGAGGAACGAUUAAUACCCCAUAAUAUAUUGACUGGCAUCAGUUGAUAUUGAAAACUCCGGUGGAUAGAGAUGGGCACGCGCAAGAUUAGAUAGUUGGUGAGGUAACGGCUCACCAAGUCUACGAUCUUUAGGGGGCCUGAGAGGGUGAUCCCCCACACUGGUACUGAGACACGGACCAGACUCCUACGGGAGGCAGCAGUGAGGAAUAUUGGACAAUGGGUGAGAGCCUGAUCCAGCCAUCCCGCGUGAAGGACGACGGCCCUAUGGGUUGUAAACUUCUUUUGUAUAGGGAUAAACCUACUCUCGUGAGAGUAGCUGAAGGUACUAUACGAAUAAGCACCGGCUAACUCCGUGCCAGCAGCCGCGGUAAUACGGAGGGUGCAAGCGUUAUCCGGAUUUAUUGGGUUUAAAGGGUCCGUAGGCGGAUCUGUAAGUCAGUGGUGAAAUCUCACAGCUUAACUGUGAAACUGCCAUUGAUACUGCAGGUCUUGAGUGUUGUUGAAGUAGCUGGAAUAAGUAGUGUAGCGGUGAAAUGCAUAGAUAUUACUUAGAACACCAAUUGCGAAGGCAGGUUACUAAGCAACAACUGACGCUGAUGGACGAAGCGUGGGGAGCGAACAGGAUUAGAUACCCUGGUAGUCCACGCCGUAACGAUGCUAACUCGUUU
Molecule: ribosomal RNA, 750 nt
Filed under: Chryseobacterium sp.
Lineage: Bacteria; Pseudomonadati; Bacteroidota; Flavobacteriia; Flavobacteriales; Weeksellaceae
Description: bacterial SSU rRNA
Rfam family: Bacterial small subunit ribosomal RNA
Source: RNAcentral